CAUCCGAAAAGGCACACUCGUCGCAAGACGGGGUCGCAAAGCUACGGGUCCGGUUGAAAGAGACCGGAUUGCCAAG
Molecule: non-coding RNA, 76 nt
Filed under: Candidatus Firestoneibacteriota
Lineage: Bacteria
Description: Candidatus Firestonebacteria c-di-GMP sequence
Rfam family: c-di-GMP-I riboswitch aptamer
About the family: GEMM was predicted in a large-scale screen for bacterial structured RNA regulatory elements. Genes associated with GEMM are involved in a diverse array of functions, including chemotaxis regulation, signal transduction, secretion and chitin.
Source: RNAcentral